Molecule: small nuclear RNA, 197 nt
Filed under: Triticum dicoccoides
Lineage: Eukaryota; Viridiplantae; Streptophyta; Magnoliopsida; Poales; Poaceae
Description: snRNA U2
Rfam family: U2 spliceosomal RNA
About the family: U2 is a small nuclear RNA (snRNA) component of the spliceosome (involved in pre-mRNA splicing). Complementary binding between U2 snRNA (in an area lying towards the 5' end but 3' to hairpin I) and the branchpoint sequence (BPS) of the intron results the bulging out of an unpaired adenosine, on the BPS, which initiates a nucleophilic attack at the intronic 5' splice site, thus starting the first of two transesterification reactions that mediate splicing.
Source: RNAcentral
AUACCUUUCUCGGCCUUUUGGCUAAGAUCAAGUGUAGUAUCUGUUCUUAUCAGUUUAAUAUCUGAUAUGUGGGCCAUGUGCCCACAACGAUAUUAAAUUUAUUUUUUGUGGGGGAGGGCCCACCACAGUGGCUUGCCACUGGGGCCCUCAGGUGUCGACCAGUGCGUUGCACUAUUGCCUGGGCAGGCGCACCCCAA